GACGUAGGGCGCGAGCGUUGUCCGGAUUUAUUGGGCGUAAAGAGCUCGUAGGCGGCUCAUCGCGUCGUGCGUGAAAACCCGUAGCUCAACUGCGGGCUUGCGUUCGAUACGGGUGGGCUGGAGUUCGGUAGGGGAGACUGGAAUUCCUGGUGUAGCGGUGAAAUGCGCAGAUAUCAGGAGGAACACCGGUGGCGAAGGCGGUUCUCUGGGCAUUACCUGACGCUGAGGAGCGAAAGUGUGGGGAGCGAACAGG
RNAcentral lists this ribosomal RNA (253 nucleotides) under uncultured bacterium. RNAcentral's name for it is "partial 16S ribosomal RNA". It matches the Rfam family "Bacterial small subunit ribosomal RNA", at positions 524 to 776 of the family's 1533-position model. The record is from RNAcentral.